UAGUGUAGACUACCUAGGGGAGCAGU
Molecule: non-coding RNA, 26 nt
Filed under: Mus musculus (house mouse)
Lineage: Eukaryota; Metazoa; Chordata; Mammalia; Rodentia; Muridae
Source: RNAcentral